RNAcentral lists this ribosomal RNA (506 nucleotides) under uncultured bacterium. RNAcentral describes it as "partial 16S ribosomal RNA". It matches the Rfam family "Bacterial small subunit ribosomal RNA", at positions 29 to 523 of the family's 1533-position model. The record is from RNAcentral.
AUUGAACGCUGGCGGCAGGCCUAACACAUGCAAGUCGGACGGUAGCACAGAGGAGCUUGCUCCUCGGGUGACGAGUGGCGGACGGGUGAGUAAUGUCUGGGGAUCUGCCCGAUAGAGGGGGAUAACCACUGGAAACGGUGGCUAAUACCGCAUAACGUCGCAAGACCAAAGAGGGGGACCUUCGGGCCUCUCACUAUCGGAUGAACCCAGAUGGGAUUAGCUAGUAGGCGGGGUAACGGCCCACCUAGGCGACGAUCCCUAGCUGGUCUGAGAGGAUGACCAGCCAAACAGGAACUGAGACACGGUCCAGACUCCUACGGGAGGCAGCAGUGGGGAAUAUUGCACAAUGGGCGCAAGCCUGAUCCAGCCAUGCCGCGUGUAUGAAGAAGGCCUUCGGGUUGUAAAGUACUUUCAGCGGGGAGGAAGGCGAUGUGGUUAAUAACCGCAUUGAUUGACGUUACCCGCAGAAGAAGCACCGGCUAACUCCGUGCCAGCCGCCGCCGUAA